RNAcentral lists this signal recognition particle RNA (299 nucleotides) under Cebus imitator (Panamanian white-faced capuchin). Its description in RNAcentral is "Metazoan signal recognition particle RNA (ENSCCAG00000000554.1)". It matches the Rfam family "Metazoan signal recognition particle RNA". Rfam says of the family: The signal recognition particle (SRP) is a universally conserved ribonucleoprotein. It is involved in the co-translational targeting of proteins to membranes. The eukaryotic SRP consists of a 300-nucleotide 7S RNA and six proteins: SRPs 72, 68, 54, 19, 14, and 9. Lineage: Eukaryota; Metazoa; Chordata; Mammalia; Primates; Cebidae. The record is from RNAcentral.
GCUGGGCGAUGUGGCACGUGCCUGUAGUCCCAGCUACUUGGGAGGCUGAGGUGGGAGGAUCGCUUGAGCCUAGGAGUUCUAGGCUUGAGUGUGCUAUGCUGAUUGGGUGUCUGCACUAAGUUUGGCAUCAAUAUGGUGACUUCCCGGGAGCGGGGGAUCACCAGGUUGCCUAAGGAAGGGUGAACCCACCCAGGUCGGAAAUGGAGCACGUCAAAACUCCCGUGCUGAUCAGUAGUGGGAUCUCGCCUAUGAAUAGCCACUGCACUCCAGCCUGGGCAACAUAGCAAGACCCCAUCUCU